UGAGAUGAUGAUAGAUUAUCUAGUUUCCCUAUUGGUUUGAUGGCCGAUAUGAUGGCUAAAAUGUAUUAGCUCUAUCUGAUCUCC
Small nucleolar RNA from Zingiber officinale, 84 nucleotides. RefSeq annotates it as small nucleolar RNA Z102/R77. NCBI's taxonomy places the organism in Eukaryota, Viridiplantae, Streptophyta, Magnoliopsida, Zingiberales, Zingiberaceae. The transcript has a single exon. The record is from RefSeq and is a predicted model, not a curated record.